CGGACGGGUGAGUAACACGUGGAUAACCUACCUAUAAGACUGGGAUAACUUCGGGAAACCGGAGCUAAUACCGGAUAAUAUAUUGAACCGCAUGGUUCAAUGUGAAAGACGGUUUUGCUGUCACUUAUAGAUGGAUCCGCGCCGCAUUAGCUAGUUGGUAAGGUAACGGCUUACCAAGGCAACGAUGCGUAGCCGACCUGAGAGGGUGAUCGGCCACACUGGAACUGAGACACGGUCCAGACUCCUACGGGAGGCAGCAGAU
This 262-nucleotide ribosomal RNA is filed under the name uncultured Staphylococcus sp. RNAcentral describes it as "partial 16S ribosomal RNA". It matches the Rfam family "Bacterial small subunit ribosomal RNA", at positions 99 to 354 of the family's 1533-position model. The record is from RNAcentral. Lineage: Bacteria; Bacillati; Bacillota; Bacilli; Caryophanales; Staphylococcaceae.